UCCAGACUCCUACGGGAGGCAGCAGUGGGGAAUCUUCCGCAAUGGGCGCAAGCCUGACGGAGCAAUGCCGCGUGAACGAAGAAGGUCUUCGGAUUGUAAAGUUCUGUCCUUAUCGAAGAGAGGGUAUAGAGUGAAAAAUGAUAUACUAGGACGGUAGAUGAGGAGGAAGCCCCGGCUAACUACGUGCCAGCAGCCGCGGUAAUACGUAGGGGGCAAGCGUUAUCCGGAUUUACUGGGUGUAAAGGGAGCGUAGACGGCUGCGCAAGUCAGAAGUGAAAGCCCGGGGCUCAACCGCGGGACUGCUUUUGAAACUGUGUAGCUAGAGUGCAGGAGAGGUAAGUGGAAUUCCUAGUGUAGCGGUGAAAUGCGUAGAUAUUAGGAGGAACACCGGUGGCGAAGGCGGCUUACUGGACUGUAACUGACGUUGAGGCUCGAAAGCGUGGGGAGCAAACAGGAUUAGAUACCCGGGUA
Molecule: ribosomal RNA, 471 nt
Filed under: uncultured bacterium
Lineage: Bacteria
Description: bacterial SSU rRNA
Rfam family: Bacterial small subunit ribosomal RNA
Source: RNAcentral